Molecule: ribosomal RNA, 252 nt
Filed under: uncultured bacterium
Lineage: Bacteria
Description: partial 16S ribosomal RNA
Rfam family: Bacterial small subunit ribosomal RNA
Source: RNAcentral
UACAUAGGUGGCAAGCGUUAUCCGGAUUUAUUGGGCGUAAAGGGUGCGUAGGCGGUAAUAUAAGUCUAAGGUUAAAGAUCGAAGCUCAACUUCGAUUUGCCUUGGAAACUGUAUAACUAGAGUACAGGAGAGGUUAGUGGAAUUCCAUGUGUAGCGGUGAAAUGCGUAGAUAUAUGGAGGAACACCAGUGGCGAAGGCGACUAACUGGCCUGUAACUGACGCUGAGGCACGAAAGCAGGAGUAUCAAAUAGG